RNAcentral lists this ribosomal RNA (301 nucleotides) under uncultured bacterium. RNAcentral's name for it is "partial 16S ribosomal RNA". It matches the Rfam family "Bacterial small subunit ribosomal RNA", at positions 509 to 807 of the family's 1533-position model. The record is from RNAcentral.
CAGCAGCCGCGGUAAUACAGAGGGUGCGAGCGUUAAUCGGAAUUACUGGGCGUAAAGCGCACGCAGGCGGUCUGUCAAGUCAGAUGUGAAAUCCCCGGGCUUAACCUGGGAACUGCAUUUGAAACUGGCAGGCUAGAGUCUUGUAGAGGGGGGUAGAAUUCCAGGUGUAGCGGUGAAAUGCGUAGAGAUCUGGAGGAAUACCGGUGGCGAAGGCGGCCCCCUGGACAAAGACUGACGCUCAGGUGCGAAAGCGUGGGGAGCAAACAGGAUUAGAUACCCCUGUAGUCCCUGUCUCUUAUAC